AGCCCUGAUGGCCCGGCAUGGGUUACCGCUGCUGCCCCUGCUGUCGCUCCUGGUCGGCGCGUGGCUCAAGCUAGGAAAUGGACAGGCUACUAGCAUGGUCCAACUGCAGGGUGGGAGAUUCCUGAUGGGAACAAAUUCUCCAGACAGCAGAGAUGGUGAAGGGCCUGUGCGGGAGGCGACAGUGAAACCCUUUGCCAUCGACAUAUUUCCUGUCACCAACAAAGAUUUCAGGGAUUUUGUCAGGGAGAAAAAGUAUCGGACAGAAGCUGAGAUAUUUGGAUGGAGCUUUGUCUUUGAGGACUUUGUCUCUGAUGAGCUGAGAAACAAAGCCACCCAGCCAAUGAAGUCUGUACUCUGGUGGCUUCCAGUGGAAAGGGCAUUUUGGAGGCAGGUAAGGGCUGAUUCCACUACCUCAUUUUCUACCCCUGCUUGACUCUUAUUCUCCAGGCCCAGCCUCCUCUCUACCCCUCGUACAUCCAGGAACACUGAGUUUCAAAGGAGGAUAGGGGAAUAUCAGGGAAAGCGCUCAGCAGGCCUGUUUCACCUGCCCGAAUCCUGUUUCCUGUUACC
This 570-nucleotide small RNA is filed under the name Pan troglodytes (chimpanzee). RNAcentral's name for it is "retained intron". Lineage: Eukaryota; Metazoa; Chordata; Mammalia; Primates; Hominidae. The record is from RNAcentral.